RNAcentral lists this long non-coding RNA (205 nucleotides) under Mytilus galloprovincialis (Mediterranean mussel). The record is from RNAcentral. Lineage: Eukaryota; Metazoa; Mollusca; Bivalvia; Mytilida; Mytilidae.
GGCCGUGAUAUAAAAAUUAUUGGGUUAGUACGCAAUUGACAUGCGCGAAUACAACGCGUAAGGAUCUACUUUCCCCUUUCAUUCACAAAAUUGCGCGUGAUUUUUUUCGCAGAAACGCACGAGAUUUUUGGCGAAUGAAACACUUUACAUUGUUUGAAACUUUCACAAAGUUAGUUUAGCCUUUUUGAACGAUUGAUGUCAAAAU